AGCAGUCGCCGCGGGAAUACGGAGGGGGCUAGCGUUGUUCGGAAUUACUGGGCGUAAAGCGCACGUAGGCGGCUUGGUAAGUUAGAGGUGAAAGCCCGGAGCUCAACUCCGGAAUUGCCUUUAAGACUGCCGAGCUAGCAGGUGAGAGAGGUAAGUGGAAUUCCGAGUGUAGAGGUGAAAUUCGUAGAUAUUCGGAAGAACACCAGUGGCGAAGGCGGCUUACUGGCUCAUACUGGACGCUGAGGUGUGAAAGCGUGGGGAGCAAACAGGAUUAGAUACCCCAGUAGUCCCUGUCUCUUAUAC
RNAcentral lists this ribosomal RNA (303 nucleotides) under uncultured bacterium. Its description in RNAcentral is "partial 16S ribosomal RNA". It matches the Rfam family "Bacterial small subunit ribosomal RNA", at positions 507 to 807 of the family's 1533-position model. The record is from RNAcentral.